This 481-nucleotide ribosomal RNA is filed under the name uncultured bacterium. RNAcentral describes it as "partial 16S ribosomal RNA". It matches the Rfam family "Bacterial small subunit ribosomal RNA", at positions 28 to 507 of the family's 1533-position model. The record is from RNAcentral.
GAUGAACGCUGGCGGCGUGCUUAACACAUGCAAGUCGAACGAUGCACUUUAUUUGAUUUCCUUCGGGACUGAUUAUUUUGUGACUGAGUGGCGGACGGGCGAGUAACGCGUGGGUAACCUGCCUUGUACAGGGGGAUAACAGUUGGAAACGGCUGCUAAUACCGCAUAAGCGCCCGGCAUUUGAUGAUGCAGUGUGAAAAAUGCCGGUGGUAUAAGAUGGACCCGCGUUGGUUUAGCUAGCUGGUGAGGUAACGGGCCACCAAGGCGACGAUCCAUAGACGGCGUGAGAGGGUGACCGGCCACAUUGAGACUGAGACACGGCCCAAACUCCUACGGGAGGCAGCAGUGGGGAAUAUUGCACAAUGGGCGAAAGGCUGAUGCAGCGACGCCGCGUGAGCGAAGAAGUAUGUCGGUAUGUAAAGCUCUAUCAGCAGGGGAGAUAAUGACGGUACCUGACUAAGAAGCACCGGCUAAAUACGUG